Molecule: transfer RNA, 72 nt
Filed under: Bos taurus (domestic cattle)
Lineage: Eukaryota; Metazoa; Chordata; Mammalia; Artiodactyla; Bovidae
Also listed under: 3 other names
Rfam family: tRNA
About the family: Transfer RNA (tRNA) molecules are approximately 80 nucleotides in length.
Source: Rfam by way of RNAcentral
UCUCUGGUUGUUCAGUGGUUAGGACUCAGCGCUUUCACUGCUGGGGCCCAGGUUCAAUCUCUGGUCGGGGAA